GGACCAAUUGCUAUAUUGCCUUAAGACUUUGCAGUCAUUUUGGCUUAAGAUUCUGAUCUUAAUGAUACCCAUCUAUCAAUUUCAUUGCAUGAAUAUGGAUAAGAUGUAGGUUGACCAAAUUGGGUACAAACUAUGCUGAAGGAUUUGAUAAAGAACCUUGCUGUUCUUUGACUUAACAUGAAUUUUAUAACUAUUCUAACUUGAGUUAUCCUUUGAUAUAAGAAACUUUAUAUAUAUCAUUACACUAUCACAUAUUUAAUUUAUUUAUAUGAGUAAAUUACAAAAAUCUCUUAAAGUUUAUGUUUAUUAUAUGUACAUCCAAUAGUUUGAAAAACCUACAUUUACCCCUAGCUAAACUAACAGCAUUAAUAAAACCAUUUACUUUACGUUAAAGGUCAAGAUUGCCCCUUCCUAUCUUCCCAUUUACAUCUAAUAACUCCAUCACUUUCUUGUAGGGUUUCGGAUGGUGCAGUGAAGGACUAGUGUUUAAAAUUUUUCAUUCAAACACCCAAGUACACCGAAACCCUAAUACCCAGAAUCAUUUGACUAUAGCAAUCAAAGCAUAAAUAAAUAAUUAGGAUAUGAAAAAUACCUAUAUUCACUAAUGAUUUCCACAGACACAUAAGUAUAUGCCCUUCAAUGGUGAUCCACGCAGAAACUGUAUCAAGGAUAAUGCUCCUUCUUGAUCCUUCAAGAGUUCUAUCCCCUAAAACUUGAAUAGCCUCACAUUGGUCAAGUUUCUUCAAGAACUUCACUUCACCCUUUCGAAGACUCUACUGGACUUUUCAAACCUCUCCUUCAGAACCUUCUUUUAUCCUUGUCUAGACUAGAAUUAGGCUUUGUGUUAAAUACAAAAGUCUUGUCCUAAAACUAGAAGGGCUGUAGGAGGGAAGGGAGAGUAAUUUGGAUGGAAUUUAGAAUGAUCUGAAUGCCCAGGGCCUUUUAUAGGUGAGAAAGGGGUGUGUGGGGAAGAGUCAUGACUCUUCCUCACACCCCAUGAGUUGUUGCAUAUCAGAGAAAGAGAGCCUUCAAAUAGAAGGAUUCUUCCAAGAAAAUGUGACUCCUUCACCCCGUGCGCAUGCCAUUCGAUCGGUGUUUAUGCAUCCUUUCCUAUUUUAGGUAAAUCUAAAACAUGCCAUGUGUAAUCCCAUUUGAAUUUGAAUUCAAAUGGCAGGAUUACCAAAUAUGGGAUGCUCCUUUUGUUGGAUUAGGUGGUUUCAUGCAUGUAAUUUUAAAUUAUCUUUUAAUUAAAUAGUGGAAGUAAAUUUAGAUUAAAUAUUUUAAUCUAAACAUGCAUUAGAUCUUAUCUACAAACUAUCUAAAAUGGACCUACAAUAUAAAUAUAACUGUGCAUCUGAAAUCUGAUCUAACAUUUAAUCUAUCAAGAGAAGAUCCGAUCUCUAUAUCUUUGCAUGGGUCAAUCUACACCAUAGUCGAUGAUCGUGGAUGUCUUGGUUUUCUGAGUCGUACACGUGUCCAACUUUUACAAGUAUCCACAUGAGAUCUUGAUCUAAUUAGAGGCUCCUUAAUCUCAUUGGAGUACUAGCUCCCUUGCAAAAAUCACUUUCUGAUUGUUGAUUGGAGAUCUUCUUCACUUCUCUCAGACCCUCUCAGAAAAAAAGAUUUGGAGGAAGAGGAAAAGAAAGAUGAAGAUGGGAGAAACCCUUUCUCACGUUUCUUUUUCUCUCUUCCCAAAACCCCAUGCCAAGAAAGGAUUCACGCCUAAGAUGCCUCACUCCCAACCCCUUCCUCUCUUCUUUUCUCAUGAUAAAAAAUAAUUUUUUUCUCUUAACCCAUGCCCAAAAGAAAUCCCUUUUUAUUUUCAUGCAAUAGGGAUUAGGUCAUACCUAAUUUAGAUAAGGAUUCAAAUUUAAAUGAGACCUUAUCUAAAUCCUUUUGGGCAUUGAGAAAGGGGGCAUCAAAAAGGGAUUUGUGUGGCUUCUCUCCUACAAAAACACCAUGAGAAAAAUUAGCAUGAAGUAGUUUGUGGCAUGGCUUAUGGUGCGGGUGCUAGGGAGAGAGAGUCCCAGUCCAAUGGGACUCUCAAGGUGCUUCAUUAAAAUCCCAACCAAAUCUGAUUUGGACACCCAAGGAGUGGAGAAAAUCUAAUCCAAUUAGGAAUCCAAUCUCCCUAACAAGAACCUAAUCUCAUUAGGAAGUUAGUUAAACUCAAAUCUUGAUCAAAUCAGAAAUUAAUCUCCCUUAUAAUUGGUUAUCUCAUAACUCAAUUAGGCUUGAUCUAAUCGAACCCA
This 2252-nucleotide long non-coding RNA is filed under the name Elaeis guineensis (African oil palm). RNAcentral's name for it is "long non-coding RNA (EGUI_LNC035030)". Lineage: Eukaryota; Viridiplantae; Streptophyta; Magnoliopsida; Arecales; Arecaceae. The record is from RNAcentral.